UGAAAAGGUUUCCUCGGACUGAAUGAAGGUUGGCUCUCGUGUGUAAAAGCAGAAGGAAGCUUGGCUGCAAGAUCCAUCUGUCGAGUCACGACCCUUUGU
This 99-nucleotide ribosomal RNA is filed under the name Olea europaea subsp. europaea. RNAcentral's name for it is "PK-G12rRNA". The record is from RNAcentral. Lineage: Eukaryota; Viridiplantae; Streptophyta; Magnoliopsida; Lamiales; Oleaceae.